Long non-coding RNA from Frieseomelitta varia, 4071 nucleotides. RefSeq lists it as uncharacterized. NCBI's taxonomy places the organism in Eukaryota, Metazoa, Arthropoda, Insecta, Hymenoptera, Apidae. The record is from RefSeq and is a predicted model, not a curated record. The transcript is spliced from 3 exons.
UAUAUCUACAAAAUGGAUACAUACAUGGAUAUGUACACAAAGAAACAUCAUUAACGCAUAUUUAGUUGCCAGAGUUCAACUGCUUGUUGUGUCACGUUGCAGUGUAAAAGGGGCGAAUUAACGACUCUUCGAUCGACGACCACCCUCUGUCGGAUGCGUUUUCUAUUUGCAAAAUAAGCGACAAGUAAUUCGUAACUUCGUCGUGAUCGGCUGCAUACGGUUAUAGAAAAAAUCCAUUAAUUCCAGUAACAACUAAUCCAUUAAAUCCAGUAACAACUAACUAAAUAAAAUUGCAGACAGGUAUGUUCGUGUGCUUUUAUUGCCAAAUAAAAUAAUAAAAAAUUUAAGAAACACGUGUUUUCAAAAGUUAUUUUUGUUUUGUAUCGUUCAGUCUUUCCAGUGACCAUCGUGUAUAAUGCAAGUAUUAUGUUUCACGCCGCUUUGGGCAAAUCGCUCGGUAAAGCAGCAUAGAGCGAGACAGUCCCAAUUCCAAGAAUUGGUGGGGAUAGCUACAGAUACUUAAGUGGGGGACUACUGUACUUGCUUCUUGCGAAAGAACUUCGUCGUAACAAACUAUUCGACAGAAACUAUUCAGAUAAGUUGGCUUCCAAUAAUAAGUGUGAAUUAGUCAAUUCGUUUAAGGUUUUAUAAAGUUAUUUUACGAAUUUCAGGUCUUCAAAUGAUAUUCAGGCAAUUAUUUUUAUAUUUUAAUUCCAAACAAGUUCGAUAGCGUUCCUAACCAUUACCACACUCCCAUUUGAUACGGAGAUCGGUCUCCUUUAUCACUCGAUGGAGCAACACAACCGUGUUGCUAAACAUUCUCACAAUCAGUGAAAGACCUCACACGAAGUACGUAUAAUCGUAACUCGCAAUGAGACUCGUUGGAUCCCUCGUGUACGACAUUUCGAUUUCGAAACGGUUUUGUCGUCGAGAUAUGCCUGUAUUAAAAGUGUGCCUCGUGAGAUUGCUAAAUCAAUCGUGAAAGCAAUGUGUUUUUUCGUUGCUGCGUGCUAAUGAAUAUCGAUUAAUUAGCAUCGAGGGUUCCCCCUGCUUGAAGAAUAUUUUGAUCUUCCUUUCUUUCCUUUCUCCUUCAUUUUCUUAUUCUUUAGUUACGUUUCGGAUCGCGAUUUUGGUCGAUAAUUUUCUGACAGCCCUGAGUAACGUUGUUCCUUAUUCGUACAAGUUUUUCUUUUUCAUUAUUCCCUUUUAUAAUCGCCCGUUGCUCUCGUCGAAUUGAACUCGUAAUAAUAACUAAACAAAAUUGCAGAUAAGGUAUGUUCGUGCGCUAGGCUGUGCUAGAAAAUUACCGAAAAAAAUUUGUCCCCUUACACUUGUACCAAAUGCUGUUGUUCUAUGGAAAUACGCCCGUACGUCUGUGAAAGCUACAGUGCCUGUCGUUAUCGCGUAAAACAAAAAUGGCGACGAUCGGAUGUUGUCCAACGUGAUCUCCCACUUUUGUGUUUUGUUUGUCAACGACGCCGGCGCAGAAACGAAUUAAAUUAAAUUCAAAUAGCACAAGUGCAAAAGGCAGGAAGUUAUUGACGACGAUAGAAACGAAAGUUGUUGAUAGAUAGUUUGCGUGCUGACGUGAAAAGCUGUCGAGGUAUUAAAAAUCGGUGCACACACACACACAUCGGCGUCUACGCGUGAAUGGCGAAGAGAUCGGUAGCCCAACGUAAAACGAAGCGUCUCCGGGAUGUGUUUCUAAUUAUUUUUUGCUUACAGUGCAGCUUGGAGGUUACAGGUUCGCGCUUUUACUAAACUUCGCUAACUAAUCGGACGUUGUCAGUCGCGGCGUUGAUUUGCGAAAAUCGGAUUGGCCAAAGACAACGCUCCCAUUUCGCUCCCCUUUCUUUUCUCCAUUUUGAAAUUACACACUUGCCCCCCCCCCCCCAAGAUAACAGACGUUCGAACUAAGAUUGUGAAUAGUUUCGCGAAACCGAAACUUACAAAAACAGCUCGACGAAUCGAUAAGAUUUUGCUACCUUGUUCUGCGGGAGAUGAAAUCACAGAGUUUGUUCUGGAGGAUGAUUUUGCUUGGAACCGCGUCGAAUGAGCAAGCUCGAAGGCGAGUUUGGCGACGAAGCAGGUAAUGGCCAGAGAACGAGCCAUUUUCGUUCUACAGGAUAGACCAAAAAUCACGUCCUACUAGAAUCCCUAAUUUUUUUUUAUUAUAUAUAUAUUUUUUUUUAACUUGAAAGAAAAUUUUUACAACGUAAUGAAAAAAAAAUCGAUGUUGUGAACUUAAAUUUAAUUAUUUAAAAUUAAUAAAAUUAGCUUUUUCUUAUAUUUUGAAAAUAUUAUUAAAUAUUUGUUAUUAAAUAUAAUAUAUAUAUGAUAAUUUAUAAAUAUUAUUAAAAUAUAAAAAAGUAUGAAAAUAUUAUUAAAAAAAAAAAAAAAAAGUGGGAAGGAACUUUUGGACCACCCUAUAGUUGACGAGCUAAUUGGAGCGGUUGGCGCGCGCUCGAGAGGUUGGCAGAGAUUUCAGUUCGUGCAGAGAGAGUGGCGAAACGACGUUACCGACGUUCUCGGGGGAUAAUUAGCCUCGUUCCAGCCUGACUUGCGCGUCAAAGCGAACAUUGUUCAUAAAUGGAAUCGUUGGACGCCAAAAUGUAUGUACGUGACGUCGAGCUUUGUUCUUUUCUUAUUUCUGGCGCUGAUCUGCCCUGGAUUUACGAAGGUUUGUAAUAUAUACAUAUGCACGAUAAUUGCACGAACGUGACAAGCACGAUAACGAUCACGGUUACAGUUUUGAACCUCGAGCGGCGAAAGAGAAUAUUUUAUAGUAAGUGAUGCGUUCACUAGCUGCUUAAAAAGCUUUUCGUCAUAGUAUGUAGUCGUCAAUCGUUCAACAAAUGCAACGAAAACAGUGGACACGGUGUCUUCGAUCAUUUAUGAAAUUUUGUAAGUAUCGUUCGAAUGUAAAUCGACCAUGAGGACCGAAGUCUGAAAUGCUUUCGAAACGAGUACAGUAAGAAUUGGUUGGAUACUACGAAACGCGAGAGUUGAAAGGUCGUUCUUUGUUUUUAGAAAAGAACACGAGAACCACUCAAUGGAAAAAAAAAAAAAAGGUUGGUUGGCUCGAUCUCUGUACAAUUCGACAACGGUACAAUCUGCUCAGCCGGAUUUCUUCAAACAAGGCUGCCAUAGACGCAGGUUCAAGAGCACAGUGCGCGCCCCCGUGUGUGUAUUUAACGAAAAAAGGGAUCAACAAGUAAACGCGUGCGAUAAAUCAAAAUCGAUUGCAAAUCGCCUUAUAAAUUGUAUAAAAAUCUCUAUUUGCCUAGCUUAAUGCCUUAAGGAUACGGUAUAUCGGGAAUUCGUGUAAUUCCUACAGAUUUAUGCCCAGUCGAAUAGACGUUGUGUUGCAUUCUUUCAUCUCGUCUCGCCUCGGCAAUCUCCGGGCCCCUGUCCACCAGGAAAAGCACGGUGUGCCCUCUGUGCGCUCAGCGACAAGCACGAUGUGAAUUUCACUUGAGAAACGUUGACCACUCGUUAAAAACGGGAUCGGCACAGUGACUUUUGCAAGUAUGUACGUCCGAGCUACGCUCUACACGCAGAUUUUUCAUAUUAAAAGUAUACACGCGCGUGUGGCAAAUAUAGAUAUACGCGAGUAAUUACGCUAUCGUAAUUUACAUUAGUAGUGGUGCAGUUCGGGGGAACGAAUAAGACGGAGGUAAAACAGAAAGCAAAUAGAGCGGAACGAUCGAUAAUUUUGGUUGUUCGCGAGAUGGCGAAGGAAGUACACUUAUAUACACAGUGGCACGAGACAAGACUUGAACGAAGAUAAUUGAGAACGUAUCGAUUCGUUGAACGAAACAGGUUUGUUGGAUCGACAUCUCUGCGAGAUGAUAGCAGCGUGCAGAUGAUUGGAAAAGAAAGAAAAGGCGAAUGGCGUAAUUGCGCGUCGGCACAGAGUCACAGUGAGGCAGAAGCGUGUCGGAAAAAUAAAUCGGAGACACGUGAGGGUUAGCGAGUAUUACUUUUAAACGAUCUGUCGUGCGAUACUCGUUGACAGGUGAGAGGCAAGCGCGUGCGCCACACGGCACGCCCAAUUGCAAAGGAAAAGGG